Molecule: ribosomal RNA, 251 nt
Filed under: uncultured prokaryote
Description: partial 16S rRNA
Rfam family: Bacterial small subunit ribosomal RNA
Source: RNAcentral
ACGUAGGGAGCAAGCGUUAUCCGGAUUUAUUGGGUGUAAAGGGUGCGUAGACGGAAAUGCAAGUUAGUUGUGAAAUACCUCGGCUUAACUGAGGAACUGCAACUAAAACUAUGUUUCUUGAGUACUGGAGGGGAAAGCGGAAUUCCUAGUGUAGCGGUGAAAUGCGUAGAUAUUAGGAAGAACACCGGUGGCGAAGGCGGCUUUCUGGACAGUAACUGACGUUGAGGCACGAAAGUGUGGGGAGCAAACAG